GCACUCUAGACGAACUGCCGUUGACAAAACGGAGGAAGGUGGGGAUGACGUCAAAUCAUCAUGCCCCUUAUGUUCUGGGCUACACACGUGCUACAAUGGCCGGUACAGACGGACGCAAAGCCGCGAGGUGGAGCAAAUCCUAAAAAGCCGGUCUCAGUUCGGAUUGCAGGCUGCAAUUCGCCUGCAUGAAGUCGGAAUCGCUAGUAAUCGCAGGUCAGCAUACUGCGGUGAAUACGUUCCCGGGCCUU
Molecule: ribosomal RNA, 248 nt
Filed under: uncultured Bacillus sp.
Lineage: Bacteria; Bacillati; Bacillota; Bacilli; Caryophanales; Bacillaceae
Description: partial 16S ribosomal RNA
Rfam family: Bacterial small subunit ribosomal RNA
Source: RNAcentral